RNAcentral lists this ribosomal RNA (458 nucleotides) under uncultured bacterium. RNAcentral's name for it is "partial 16S ribosomal RNA". It matches the Rfam family "Bacterial small subunit ribosomal RNA", at positions 28 to 507 of the family's 1533-position model. The record is from RNAcentral.
GACGAACGCUGGCGGCGUGCUUCAUACAUGCAAGUCGAACGAGAAGCUGACUUCGGUCAGCGGAAAGUGGCGGACGGGUGAGUAAUAUGUAGGAAAUCUGCCUUUAGGAGGGGGACAACAGAGGGAAACUUCUGCUAAUACCCCAUAUGAGCGUAGCUGAAAUGCUCUUCUUGAAAACUCCGGUGCCUAAAGAUGGGCCUGCAUCGGAUUAGCUAGUUGGUAGUGUAAUGGACUACCAAGGCGACGAUCAGUAGCUGGGUUGAGAGGAUGAUCAGCCACAAUGGGACUGAGACACGGCCCAGACUCCUACGGGAGGCAGCAGUAGGGAAUUUUGCGCAAGGGGCGAAAGUCUGACGCAGCAACGCCGCGUGAACGAUUAAGCCCUUCGAAGUGUAAAGUUCUGUCAGUGGGGACGAAACUUGACGGUACCCACAGAGGAAGCACCGGCUAACUCCGUG